AUUGAACGCUGGCGGCAUGCCUUACACAUGCAAGUCGAACAGCAGCACGGGUGCUUGCACCUGGUGGCGAGUGGCGAACGGGUGAGUAAUACAUCGGAACAUGUCCUGUAGUGGGGGAUAGCCCGGCGAAAGCCGGAUUAAUACCGCAUACGAUCUACGGAUGAAAGCGGGGGACCUUCGGGCCUCGCGCUAUAGGGUUGGCCGAUGGCUGAUUAGCUAGUUGGUGGGGUAAAGGCCUACCAAGGCGACGAUCAGUAGCUGGUCUGAGAGGACGACCAGCCACACUGGGACUGAGACACGGCCCAGACUCCUACGGGAGGCAGCAGUGGGGAAUUUUGGACAAUGGGCGAAAGCCUGAUCCAGCAAUGCCGCGUGUGUGAAGAAGGCCUUCGGGUUGUAAAGCACUUUUGUCCGGAAAGAAAUCCUUGGCCCUAAUACGGUCGGGGGAUGACGGUACCGGAAGAAUAAGCACCGGCUAACUACGUG
RNAcentral lists this ribosomal RNA (486 nucleotides) under uncultured bacterium. RNAcentral's name for it is "partial 16S ribosomal RNA". It matches the Rfam family "Bacterial small subunit ribosomal RNA", at positions 30 to 507 of the family's 1533-position model. The record is from RNAcentral.